CGCUUUGUAGUUCAACGGACAGAACGGAAGUUUCCUAAACUUCAAAUCCGGGUUCGAUCCCCGGCAAAGUGA
Molecule: transfer RNA, 72 nt
Filed under: Caudoviricetes sp.
Lineage: Duplodnaviria; Heunggongvirae; Uroviricota; Caudoviricetes
Description: tRNA-Arg
Rfam family: tRNA
About the family: Transfer RNA (tRNA) molecules are approximately 80 nucleotides in length. Their secondary structure includes four short double-helical elements and three loops (D, anti-codon, and T loops). Further hydrogen bonds mediate the characteristic L-shaped molecular structure. tRNAs have two regions of fundamental functional importance: the anti-codon, which is responsible for specific mRNA codon recognition, and the 3' end, to which the tRNAs corresponding amino acid is attached (by aminoacyl-tRNA synthetases). tRNAs cope with the degeneracy of the genetic code in two manners: having more than one tRNA (with a specific anti-codon) for a particular amino acid; and 'wobble' base-pairing, i.e. permitting non-standard base-pairing at the 3rd anti-codon position.
Source: RNAcentral